Small nuclear RNA from Otolemur garnettii (small-eared galago), 108 nucleotides. Lineage: Eukaryota; Metazoa; Chordata; Mammalia; Primates; Galagidae. The record is from Ensembl.
GUGCUCUCUUUGGCAGCACAUAUAUUAAAAAUUGGAAUGAUACAGAAAAGAUUAGCAUGGUCCCUGCGCAAGGAUGACACACAAAUUCAGGAAGUGCUCCUCCCUAGA